UACGUAGGGAGCAAGCGUUGUCCGGAAUCAUUGGGCGUAAAGCGCGCGUAGGCGGCUCGAUAAGUCCGCUGUAAAAGUCAACGGCUCAACUGUUGAAAGCCGGUGGAUACUGUCGGGCUAGAGUACGGAAGAGGCAAGUGGAAUUCCUGGUGUAGCGGUGGAAUGCGCAGAUAUCAGGAGGAACACCCAUAGCGAAGGCAGCUUGCUGGGACGUUACUGACGCUAAGGCGCGAAAGCGUGGGGAGCGAACAGG
Molecule: ribosomal RNA, 253 nt
Filed under: uncultured bacterium
Lineage: Bacteria
Description: partial 16S ribosomal RNA
Rfam family: Bacterial small subunit ribosomal RNA
Source: RNAcentral